AGCUUGCUUCUCUGAUGUUAGCGGCGGACGGGUGAGUAACACGUGGAUAACCUACCUAUAAGACUGGGAUAACUUCGGGAAACCGGAGCUAAUACCGGAUAAUAUUUUGAACCGCAUGGUUCAAAAGUGAAAGACGGUCUUGCUGUCACUUAUAGAUGGAUCCGCGCUGCAUUAGCUAGUUGGUAAGGUAACGGCUUACCAAGGCAACGAUGCAUAGCCGACCUGAGAGGGUGAUCGGCCACACUGGAACUGAGACACGGUCCAGACUCCUACGGGAGGCAGCAGUAGGGAAUCUUCCGCAAUGGGCGAAAGCCUGACGGAGCAACGCCGCGUGAGUGAUGAAGGUCUUCGGAUCGUAAAACUCUGUUAUUAGGGAAGAACAUAUGUGUAAGUAACUGUGCACAUCUUGACGGUACCUAAUCAGAAAGCCACGGCUAACUACGUGCCAGCAGCCGCGGUAAUACGUAGGUGGCAAGCGUUAUCCGGAAUUAUUGGGCGUAAAGCGCGCGUAGGCGGUUUUUUAAGUCUGAUGUGAAAGCCCACGGCUCAACCGUGGAGGGUCAUUGGAAACUGGAAAACUUGAGUGCAGAAGAGGAAAGUGGAAUUCCAUGUGUAGCGGUGAAAUGCGCAGAGAUAUGGAGGAACACCAGUGGCGAAGGCGACUUUCUGGUCUGUAACUGACGCUGAUGUGCGAAAGCGUGGGGAUCAAACAGGAUUAGAUACCCUGGUAGUCCACGCCGUAAACGAUGAGUGCUAAGUGUUAGGGGGUUUCCGCCCCUUAGUGCUGCAGCUAACGCAUUAAGCACUCCGCCUGGGGAGUACGACCGCAAGGUUGAAACUCAAAGGAAUUGACGGGGACCCGCACAAGCGGUGGAGCAUGUGGUUUAAUUCGAAGCAACGCGAAGAACCUUACCAAAUCUUGACAUCCUUUGACAACUCUAGAGAUAGAGCCUUCCCCUUCGGGGGACAAAGUGACAGGUGGUGCAUGGUUGUCGUCAGCUCGUGUCGUGAGAUGUUGGGUUAAGUCCCGCAACGAGCGCAACCCUUAAGCUUAGUUGCCAUCAUUAAGUUGGGCACUCUAAGUUGACUGCCGGUGACAAACCGGAGGAAGGUGGGGAUGACGUCAAAUCAUCAUGCCCCUUAUGAUUUGGGCUACACACGUGCUACAAUGGACAAUACAAAGGGCAGCGAAACCGCGAGGUCAAGCAAAUCCCAUAAAGUUGUUCUCAGUUCGGAUUGUAGUCUGCAACUCGACUACAUGAAGCUGGAAUCGCUAGUAAUCGUAGAUCAGCAUGCU
This 1297-nucleotide ribosomal RNA is filed under the name Staphylococcus aureus. RNAcentral describes it as "bacterial SSU rRNA". It matches the Rfam family "Bacterial small subunit ribosomal RNA", at positions 77 to 1358 of the family's 1533-position model. The record is from RNAcentral. Lineage: Bacteria; Bacillati; Bacillota; Bacilli; Caryophanales; Staphylococcaceae.